AUUGAACGCUGGCGGCAGGCCUAACACAUGCAAGUCGAAUGGUAACAGGAAACAGCUUGCUGUUUCGCUGACGAGUGGCGGACGGGUGAGUAAUGUCUGGGAAACUGCCUGGUGGAGGGGGAUAACUACUGGAAACGGUAGCUAAUACCGCAUAACGUCGCAAGACCAAAGAGGGGGACCUUCGGGCCUCUUGCCAUCAGAUGUGCCCAGAUGGGAUUAGCUAGUAGGUGGGGUAACGGCUCACCUAGGCGACGAUCCCUAGCUGGUCUGAGAGGAUGACCAGCCACACUGGAACUGAGACACGGUCCAGACUCCUACGGGAGGCAGCAGUGGGGAAUAUUGCACAAUGGGCGCAAGCCUGAUGCAGCCAUACCGCGUGUAUGAAGAAGGCCUUCGGGUUGUAAAGUACUUUCAGCGGGGAGGAAGGGAGUAAAGUUAAUACCUUUGCUCAUUGACGUUACCCGCAGAAGAAGCACCGGCUAACUCCGUG
RNAcentral lists this ribosomal RNA (490 nucleotides) under uncultured bacterium. RNAcentral describes it as "partial 16S ribosomal RNA". It matches the Rfam family "Bacterial small subunit ribosomal RNA", at positions 30 to 507 of the family's 1533-position model. The record is from RNAcentral.